RNAcentral lists this ribosomal RNA (681 nucleotides) under uncultured Hyphomicrobiales bacterium. RNAcentral's name for it is "bacterial SSU rRNA". It matches the Rfam family "Bacterial small subunit ribosomal RNA", at positions 28 to 753 of the family's 1533-position model. Lineage: Bacteria; Pseudomonadati; Pseudomonadota; Alphaproteobacteria; Hyphomicrobiales. The record is from RNAcentral.
AGCGAACGCUGGCGGCAGGCUUAACACAUGCAAGUCGAGCGGGCGUAGCAAUACGUCAGCGGCAGACGGGUGAGUAACGCGUGGGAACGUACCUUUUGGUUCGGAACAACACAGGGAAACUUGUGCUAAUACCGGAUAAGCCCUUACGGGGAAAGAUUUAUCGCCGAAAGAUCGGCCCGCGUCUGAUUAGCUAGUUGGUGAGGUAAUGGCUCACCAAGGCGACGAUCAGUAGCUGGUCUGAGAGGAUGAUCAGCCACAUUGGGACUGAGACACGGCCCAAACUCCUACGGGAGGCAGCAGUGGGGAAUAUUGGACAAUGGGCGCAAGCCUGAUCCAGCCAUGCCGCGUGAGUGAUGAAGGCCCUAGGGUUGUAAAGCUCUUUUGUGCGGGAAGAUAAUGACGGUACCGCAAGAAUAAGCCCCGGCUAACUUCGUGCCAGCAGCCGCGGUAAUACGAAGGGGGCUAGCGUUGCUUGGAAUCACUGGGCGUAAAGGGCGCGUAGGCGGGUCUUUAAGUCAGGGGUGAAAUCCUGGAGCUCAACUCCAGAACUGCCUUUGAUACUGAGGAUCUUGAGUUCGGGAGAGGUGAGUGGAACUGCGAGUGUAGAGGUGAAAUUCGUAGAUAUUCGCAAGAACACCAGUGGCGAAGGCGGCUCACUGGCCCGAUACUGACGCUGAGGCA